RNAcentral lists this long non-coding RNA (435 nucleotides) under Rattus norvegicus (Norway rat). Its description in RNAcentral is "long non-coding RNA NONRATT009225". Lineage: Eukaryota; Metazoa; Chordata; Mammalia; Rodentia; Muridae. The record is from RNAcentral.
GGUCAGGGUAAUGUCUGUGACGGGGAAGAGAAGUCACAGCAAGGAAUCACUGUGGUCCUCUUGAACUGACCUGCUGUCCUUUGAGAGUUGAGAUAAUCCUGUUCUCCACACUCAGGCUCAUCUGAUAAGAGUAACAUUUUUCUCAUGAGACCCAAUGCAAAGAAAGCGAUCUCAUAGGAAGGGUGUGGUCUAUGACUGAUCCAAAAGAGAGUCUUGUACUAAAGUAUGGGUUGUUCUGAGUGCUGCCGUGCCAGGUGAGCCAGUGUGCAAGCUGCAGGGGAGUCAGCCACAUAGCUCAAGGCUGGCCCAGCAUUCCAGAUGUCAGGGAGGGAGAGGACAUGGUCAGGGGUAGCAGCAUGGGCCAGAGAUCCCAGCUCUUGCUGAGAUCCAGGAGUGAAUCCAGCCAGGGCAACACAGCAAUGGCUAGUUGCAAAG